GGCUCCCUGUUUUUUCACAUAGGGAGUCGGACCUGCUCGGUGAAUUAUUUUAACAGCCGCGGUACUCUGACCGUGCAAAGGUAGCAUAAUCAUUUGCCUUAUAAUUGAAGGCUAGUAUGAAUGGUUUGACGAGAAUUGAGCUGUCUCUUUUCAACUAAAUAUAAUUUUAUUAAUAGGUGAAGAAGCCUAUAUUUCAUUGAAAGACAAGAAGACCCUAUCGAGCUUUAAGGAAUUUAAUAGACUCGCCAUAUAUUUAUAGAAAAACGAGACUACUAAAAACUUUGGUUGGGGCGACUGAGGAACAAAUAAAGCUUCCUCUUGAUUUAAAAUAACUUACAGGUAUUGAUCCAAUAAAUUUGAUUAAAGGAAUUAGUUACCGUAGGGAUAACAGCAUAAUCCCCUUUGAGAGUCCUUAUCGAAAAGGGGGUUUGUGACCUCGAUGUUGGACCAGAAUACCCAGAAGAUGCAGCCGUCUUCAAUGGUUGGUCUGUUCGACCAUUAAAAUUCUACGUGAUCUGAGUUCAGACCGGCGUGAGCCAGGUCAGUUUCUAUCUUCAAUUUUGACAGUGGCCUUAGUACGAAAGGACCAGGCUACUACAAAAUAUUUGUAGCACAUUGAUUUAAUAUAAAUAAUAAUUAAGUUGAUAAACAUCAAAUUAGCAAAGAUUAAUGCAAUUGACUUAGGAUCAAUAGACAUAGGUGAAACCCCUUUAUUUGAUAUAUAAAGAUGGCAGAAAAA
Molecule: ribosomal RNA, 739 nt
Filed under: Concholepas concholepas
Lineage: Eukaryota; Metazoa; Mollusca; Gastropoda; Neogastropoda; Muricidae
Description: partial 16S ribosomal RNA
Rfam family: Bacterial large subunit ribosomal RNA (bases 1-579)
Source: RNAcentral